AUGCGGGUAAUUGCAUAUGGCGUUCCGGCAGACUAUGCCGAUGAGUAUCUUCGCAUUGGUGAAGAUACAACAAUUGAGUAAGUGCGUAGAUUUGCCAAAGCGAUCAUCCGUGUAUUUGGUCUCGAAUAUCUUCGGGCACCCAACGAGGAUGACACAAACAAAUUGAUGUCAUCUAAUGAGAGGAGAGGUUGGCCUGGCAUGUGA
This 204-nucleotide ribosomal RNA is filed under the name Triticum aestivum (bread wheat). Its description in RNAcentral is "partial small subunit ribosomal RNA". The record is from RNAcentral. Lineage: Eukaryota; Viridiplantae; Streptophyta; Magnoliopsida; Poales; Poaceae.